This 268-nucleotide long non-coding RNA is filed under the name Mytilus galloprovincialis (Mediterranean mussel). Lineage: Eukaryota; Metazoa; Mollusca; Bivalvia; Mytilida; Mytilidae. The record is from RNAcentral.
UUGUAUAUUCAUUUAAUUCCAGAAUUCACCAACAGAUUUUUAAUUUUAUUUUUGCAGAUGCAGCUGAGAGGAUAUUUCAGUCAUAGACCUUGGAUAGACUCCGUUGUAGCAGACUAGGAAGGGUAGCAUAUAGUUUCCGCAACGCUAUACAAUAGUAACAAGAUCAUUCUACUCUGAGAUUGUUAAAGGGCCUGUUUGAUGGAAGUGACACCAACGUUCUCAAAAACAUUACUAAUAUAUAAAAUUUGUUUUUGUUGUAGAUGGCAGC